RNAcentral lists this ribosomal RNA (382 nucleotides) under uncultured bacterium. RNAcentral's name for it is "bacterial SSU rRNA". It matches the Rfam family "Bacterial small subunit ribosomal RNA", at positions 335 to 713 of the family's 1533-position model. The record is from RNAcentral.
ACUCCUACGGGAGGCAGCAGUGGGGAAUAUUGCACAAUGGGGAAACCCUGAUGCAGCCAUGCCGCGUGUGUGAAGAAGGCCUCGGUUGUAAGCACUUCUAGUAGGAGGAAGGUAGUGUAGUUAACACCUGCACUAUUUGUACGUUACCUACAGAAGAAGCACCGGCUAACUCCGUGCCAGCAGCCGCGGUAAUACGGAGGGUGCGAGCGUUAAUCGGAAUUACUGGCGUAAAGCGCAUGCAGGCGGCCUGUUAAGUCAGAUGUGAAAGCCCGGGGGCUUAACCUCGGAAUUGCAUUUGAAACUGGCAGGCUAGAGUCUUGUAGAGGGGGUAGGAAUUUCAGGUGUAGCGGUGAAAUGCGUAGAGAUCUGAAGGAAUACCAGU